AUGAACGCUAGCGGCAGGCCUAACACAUGCAAGUCGAACGGCAGCACGACCUUCGGGUUGGUGGCGAGUGGCGCACGGGUGCGUAACGCGUAUACAAUCUACCUUUUACAGGGGAAUAGCCCAGAGAAAUUUGGAUUAAUACCCCAUGGUAUUAUUGAUCGGCAUCGGUCGGUAAUUAAAGAUUCAUCGGUAAAAGAUGAGUAUGCGUUCUAUUAGCUAGUAGGUGUGGUAACGGCACACCUAGGCAACGAUAGAUAGGGGCCCUGAGAGGGGGAUCCCCCACACUGGUACUGAGACACGGACCAGACUCCUACGGGAGGCAGCAGUGAGGAAUAUUGGACAAUGGGCGAGAGCCUGAUCCAGCCAUGCCGCGUGCAGGAAGACGGCCCUAUGGGUUGUAAACUGCUUUUAUACAGGAAGAAACACCCUCUCGUGAGGGGGCUUGACGGUACUGUAAGAAUAAGGAUCGGCUAACUCCGUGCCAGCAGCCGCGGUAAUACGGAGGAUCCAAGCGUUAUCCGGAAUCAUUGGGUUUAAAGGGUCCGUAGGUGGAUGAUUAAGUCAGAGGUGAAAUCCUGCAGCUCAACUGUAGAAUUGCCUUUGAUACUGGUCAUCUUGAAUUAUUAUGAAGUAGUUAGAAUAUGUAGUGUAGCGGUGAAAUGCAUAGAUAUUACAUAGAAUACCAAUUGCGAAGGCAGAUUACUAAUAAUAUAUUGACACUGAUGGACGAAAGCGUGGGGAGCGAACAGGAUUAGAUACCCUGGUAGUCCACGCCGUAAACGAUGGUUACUAGCUGUUCGAACUUCGGUUUG
RNAcentral lists this ribosomal RNA (812 nucleotides) under Flavobacteriaceae bacterium MAR_2010_199. RNAcentral's name for it is "bacterial SSU rRNA". It matches the Rfam family "Bacterial small subunit ribosomal RNA", at positions 29 to 841 of the family's 1533-position model. The record is from RNAcentral. Lineage: Bacteria; Pseudomonadati; Bacteroidota; Flavobacteriia; Flavobacteriales; Flavobacteriaceae.